GGUUUUAUAAUUUAAUCAAAAAUAUUAAAUUGCAAAUUUAAAAAUACAUAUAAUUGUUAAAACUU
RNAcentral lists this transfer RNA (65 nucleotides) under Argonauta argo. RNAcentral describes it as "tRNA-Cys". The record is from RNAcentral. Lineage: Eukaryota; Metazoa; Mollusca; Cephalopoda; Octopoda; Argonautidae.